This is a long non-coding RNA of Mesocricetus auratus (golden hamster), 385 nucleotides long. RefSeq lists it as uncharacterized. The record is from RefSeq and is a predicted model, not a curated record. NCBI's taxonomy places the organism in Eukaryota, Metazoa, Chordata, Mammalia, Rodentia, Cricetidae. The transcript is spliced from 3 exons.
AUCUAAAAGGAAAGGAGGGGAGAGGAGCGCCCUCUUCAGACUGAGCAAGCCUGCUUUCUGUCUGCUCCUUAAGGACGCUUCACUGUCUUGUUGGAGAUCAAGAAGCAGUGCCUGACAUGGGUAUUUCUGAACAGGAGCCAGACCCACGCAUUAUGGAACCCUCAGUGAAACAAGGGACACCAAGAAGAAGACAGGUGCAGCAUUACAACCCCUUUCUGGGACAACCUUGAAACACAGAUUGCCUCGUCUACUGUGAUGGUAUUCCGGGCAGCAUUGUUUCUGACCAAGAAGUCACUUCACAGUCAGAGAAUUGUGACAGUGAACCCAUGUUCACAGAAUCCACUGGUCUACCAUGUUCCCCACCAUACUGAAGCAGCUGGCCUGA